Molecule: ribosomal RNA, 250 nt
Filed under: uncultured prokaryote
Description: partial 16S ribosomal RNA
Rfam family: Bacterial small subunit ribosomal RNA
Source: RNAcentral
UACGUAGGGGGCAAGCGUUAUCCGGAUUUACUGGGUGUAAAGGGAGCGUAGACGGCUCUGCAAGUCUGAAGUGAAAGCUCGGGGCUCAACCCCGGAACUGCUUUGGAAACUGUAAAGCUGGAGUGUCGGAGAGGUAAGCGGAAUUCCUGGUGCAGUAGUGAAAUGCGUAGAUAUCAGGAAGAACACCGGAGGCGAAGGCGGCUUACUGGACGAUAACUGACGUUGAGGCUCGAAAGCGUGGAGAGCAAAC